This 490-nucleotide ribosomal RNA is filed under the name uncultured bacterium. RNAcentral describes it as "partial 16S ribosomal RNA". It matches the Rfam family "Bacterial small subunit ribosomal RNA", at positions 30 to 507 of the family's 1533-position model. The record is from RNAcentral.
AUUGAACGCUGGCGGCAGGCUUAACACAUGCAAGUCGAGCGGUAGCACAGGGGAGCUUGCUCCCUGGGUGACGAGCGGCGGACGGGUGAGUAAUGUCUGGGAAACUGCCUGAUGGAGGGGGAUAACUACUGGAAACGGUAGCUAAUACCGCAUAACGUCGCAAGACCAAAGAGGGGGACCUUCGGGCCUCUUGCCAUCAGAUGUGCCCAGAUGGGAUUAGCUAGUAGGUGGGGUAAUGGCUCACCUAGGCGACGACCCCUAGCUGGUCUGAGAGGAUGACCAGCCACCCUGGAACUGAGACACGGUCCAGACUCCUACGGGGGGCAGCAGUGGGGAAUAUUGCACAAUGGGCGCAAGCCUGAGGCAGCCAUGCCGCGUGUGUGAAGAAGGCCUUCGGGUUGUAAAGCACUUUCAGCGAGGAGGAAGGUGGUGAGCUUAAUACGUUCAUCAAUUGACGUUACUCGCAGAAGAAGCACCGGCUAACUCCGUG